RNAcentral lists this ribosomal RNA (440 nucleotides) under uncultured bacterium. RNAcentral's name for it is "partial 16S ribosomal RNA". It matches the Rfam family "Bacterial small subunit ribosomal RNA", at positions 338 to 795 of the family's 1533-position model. The record is from RNAcentral.
CCUACGGGAGGCAGCAGUGGGGAAUAUUGCACAAUGGGGGAAACCCUGAUGCAGCGACGCCGCGUGAGUGAAGAAGGAAUUCGUUAUGUAAAGCUCUAUCAGUAGGGAAGAAAAUGACGGUACCUGAGUAAGAAGCCCCGGCUAACUACGUGCCAGCAGCCGCGGUAAUACGUAGGGGGCAAGCGUUAUCCGGAUUUACUGGGUGUAAAGGGAGCGUAGACGGGUGUGCAAGUCUGGAGUGAAAGGCGGGGGCUCAACCUCCGGACUGCUCUGGAAACUGGACGGCUGGAGUGCAGGAGAGGUAGGUGGAAUUCGUGGUGUAGCGGUGAAAUGCGUAGAUAUUAGGAAGAACGCCGAUGGCGAAGGCAGCUUACUGGACUGUAACUGACGUUGAGGCUCGAAAGCGUGGGGAGCAAACAGGAUUAGAUACCCUAGUAGUC